GCGAGGUGGUGCUAAUCCUAGAAAAUUCUUCGUAGUCCGGAUUGGAGUCUGCAACUCGACUCCAUGAAGUCGGAAUCGCUAGUAAUCGCGAAUCAGCAUGUCGCGGUGAAUACGUUCUCGGGUCUUGUAACACCGCCCGUCAUACCAUGGAAGUGGAUUGCACCAGAAGUAGAUAGUCUAACCUUCGGGAGGGCGUUUACCACGGUGUGGCUUCAUGACUGGGGUAAAGUCGUAACAAGGUAGCCGUAGGGGAACCUGUGGCUGGAUCACCUCCUU
RNAcentral lists this ribosomal RNA (276 nucleotides) under uncultured bacterium. RNAcentral's name for it is "partial 16S ribosomal RNA". It matches the Rfam family "Bacterial small subunit ribosomal RNA", at positions 1257 to 1532 of the family's 1533-position model. The record is from RNAcentral.